CCUACGGGUGGCAGCAGUGAGGAAUAUUGGUCAAUGGGCGCGAGCCUGAACCAGCCAAGUCGCGUGAGGGAGGACGGCCCUACGGGUUGUAAACCUCUUUUGCCGGGGAGCAACGGGCGGCACGUGUGGCGCCACGGAGAGUACCCGGAGAAAAAGCAGCGGCCAACUCAGGGCCAGCAGCCGCGGUAAGACGGAGGAUGCGAGAGUUAUCCGGAUUUAUUUGGUUGACGGGGUGCGUAGGCGGAUCGUUAAGUCAGUGGUCAAAUUGAGGGGCUCAACCCCUUCCCGCCAUUGAAACUGGCGCUCUUGAGUGGAAGAGCAGUAUGCGGCAUGCGUGUUGUAGCGG
RNAcentral lists this ribosomal RNA (346 nucleotides) under uncultured bacterium. RNAcentral describes it as "partial 16S ribosomal RNA". It matches the Rfam family "Bacterial small subunit ribosomal RNA", at positions 338 to 681 of the family's 1533-position model. The record is from RNAcentral.